This 736-nucleotide unclassified non-coding RNA is filed under the name Hevea brasiliensis (rubber tree). The record is from RNAcentral. Lineage: Eukaryota; Viridiplantae; Streptophyta; Magnoliopsida; Malpighiales; Euphorbiaceae.
CGAGUAAUGAUCGUCAGGGGUAUGGUGGAUCCCGUUGGGGGCCUCCCAGAAAUGACUAUCGGUCUGGGUAUGGUGUUGGUGGUGUUGGUGGUAGAACUGGCGGUUGGGGCAACAGAAGUGGUGGCUGGGAUCGUGGGAGAGAGAGGGAAGUUAACCCAUUCGGUGAUGAUGAUGAUACAGAGCAGGCAUUUUCUGAGCAAGAGAAUACUGGUAUUAACUUUGAUGCAUACGAGGAUAUUCCAGUUGAGACAAGUGGGGAAAAUGUCCCUCCACCUGUAAAUACCUUUGCAGAGAUUGACUUGGGUGAAGCAUUAAAUCAGAACAUCCGCAGGUGCAAAUAUGUGAAACCAACUCCUGUGCAACGGCAUGCAAUCCCAAUAUCUCUUGCAGGCCGGGAUCUGAUGGCAUGUGCCCAAACUGGUUCUGGCAAGACUGCCGCAUUCUGUUUCCCAAUUAUUAGUGGAAUUAUGAAAAUGCAAGGGCAGAGUGCACAGAGGCCACUGCGUGGUGCACGUACAGUGUACCCUCUAGCUCUUAUUCUUUCUCCAACCAGGGAGCUUUCAAUGCAGAUACAUGAGGAAGCAAGGAAAUUCUCUUAUCAAACAGGUGUUAAGGUAGUCGUUGCUUAUGGAGGAGCACCACUUAAUCAACAGCUACGGGAACUGGAGAGAGGUGUUGAUAUUCUUGUAGCAACUCCGGGAAGACUAGUAGAUUUAUUGGAGAGAGCUAGAGUUUC